Molecule: small RNA, 86 nt
Filed under: Flavobacterium terrae
Lineage: Bacteria; Pseudomonadati; Bacteroidota; Flavobacteriia; Flavobacteriales; Flavobacteriaceae
Description: Flavo-1 RNA
Rfam family: Flavo-1 RNA
Source: Rfam by way of RNAcentral
AACUAGCCCCGAUAGUAGCGGUAUCCUUUUUGGUGGCUUCGAGAACCUCAGCCAUCAAAAAGAUAUAGCGGAUAGCGGGAAAAUGG